Homo sapiens (human) is the source of this 747-nucleotide long non-coding RNA. Ensembl annotates it as EOLA1 divergent transcript. Its record names the gene EOLA1-DT. Lineage: Eukaryota; Metazoa; Chordata; Mammalia; Primates; Hominidae. The record is from Ensembl.
GCUAUUCUCUUUACCUGGCCCUGAUGCGCGCCAGCCAACCAGGCCAAGGCCAGGGGACCUCGAGACCGGCAGCCUCGACGAAGAACCGGAAGGAGGAAAAGGAACGGGAGGGAGGAAGAUCUCCCGCAUUGACUUCAUAACCAAGUUCUGGGUCCCUGCCUCUGGAGUGCCUGAUGAGACAAAACGGCUCCUCGUCCUGCAUCCCCGCUGCUACUUCCAGAAUUCAGGCCUCGUGGUCUGGAGCCUGCACUGUUCCAUGAGCCUCCUGAGCAACCUGGAGUCCUCUGUCUUUCUUCCCUCAGUGAGAUGCGCCUACUUCUCCCUGGAGAAGCUCGAGGAAGCAGGAAUGCUGGAGAUGAGACCCAGCACACCCUGCCUGCAUGGCGCUGCGCUGCACCUUCACUCUGGUCACGGGUCUGGCAGUCGGCUCACCAAUUCGUCCUGCUUCCCUGGGACUCGCCGGCUUUUAGCACUGCAAUUCACUCAGCAAACUGGGACUGUUGGUCACCCUACCUGGCAGCCAGUGAUAAGGUGAGGGCCACUCCUGGGAGGGAGGACACCUGUGGGGAAAAUUCUUGUGUUAUUUAUUUCUCCUUCGGGAUAGGGUGCCUGCAGCGCUUCAUGGGAGGGGGUGGGCUGAUGCUGCGGGCUCAGAAGUUUCAAGGGCAUCUGGGGAGACCAGAUAUUCAGAGACCUUCUCCUAGAUGUGCCUGUUCCAUGUAUCAGGGACACAGGUUUUCCCAACAG